This 466-nucleotide ribosomal RNA is filed under the name Rineloricaria sp. Its description in RNAcentral is "partial 16S ribosomal RNA". It matches the Rfam family "Bacterial large subunit ribosomal RNA", at positions 1922 to 2555 of the family's 2925-position model. Lineage: Eukaryota; Metazoa; Chordata; Actinopteri; Siluriformes; Loricariidae. The record is from RNAcentral.
GUUAAACGGCCGCGGUAUUUUGACCGUGCAAAGGUAGCGCAAUCACUUGUCUUUUAAAUGAAGACCCGUAUGAAUGGUGAAACGAGGGCUUAACUGUCUCCCUUUUCUGGUCAAUGAAAUUGAUCUACCCGUGCAGAAGCGGGUCUAAUGCUACAAGACGAGAAGACCCUUUGGAGCUUAAGAUAAAGACCAACUAUGUUAAUAAUUAAAAAAUAUUAAACUAAGUAGGCCCUGGUCCCUAUCUUCGGUUGGGGCGACCACGGGAGAAAAACAAGCUCCCAUGCGGACAGGGUAACCCUAAAGCCAAGAAAGACAUCUCUAAGACACAGAACAUCUGACCAUAUUGAUCCGGCCAACCGACCAACGAACCAAGUUACCCUAGGGAUAACAGCGCAAUCCCCUUUCAGAGUCCAUAUCGACAAGGGGGUUUACGACCUCGAUGUUGGAUCAGGACAUCCUAAUGGUG